RNAcentral lists this ribosomal RNA (133 nucleotides) under uncultured bacterium. RNAcentral's name for it is "partial 16S ribosomal RNA". The record is from RNAcentral.
CCGCGUGAGUGACGAUUGUUUUCGGAUCCUCAGCUGUGAUGUAAAAAGGGAAGGAUAGAGGUAGUAACUGGCCUUUAUUUGCCCGUAAUCAACCAGAAAGUCACGGCUAACUACGUGCCAGCAGCCGCGGUAA